This is a long non-coding RNA of Bufo bufo (common toad), 117 nucleotides long. RefSeq lists it as uncharacterized. The transcript is spliced from 4 exons. Lineage: Eukaryota; Metazoa; Chordata; Amphibia; Anura; Bufonidae. The record is from RefSeq and is a predicted model, not a curated record.
GAUGUACGUAGGUGGAUCCAAUCGACAAUCCACGGCGUCCCGCGUGGUGAUUCAAGUCCGAUCUUCCGCUGCUGCUUAUUCACGUGAUUUGAAGGAAGAGCAGACUUCUAUGACUGA